GAUGAACGCUGGCGGCAUGCCUAAUACAUGCAAGUCGAGCGAACAGACGAGGAGCUUGCUCCUUCGACGUCAGCGGCGGACGGAAGAGUAACACGUAGGUAACCUACCUAUAAGACUGGGAUGACUUCGGGAAACCGGAGCUAAUACCGGAUAAUAUUUCGAACCGCAUGGUUCGAUAGUUGAAGAUGGCUUUGCUAUCAGUAAUAGAUUGACCUGCGCCGUAUUAGCAAGUUGGUAAGGUAACGGGUUAGCAACGCAACGAUAAUUAGCCGACCUCAGAGAGUGAGUGCCUAGAUGGGAACUGAGACACGGUCCACACUCCUACACGGGGCAACAGUAGGGAAUCUUCCGCGAUGGGCCAAUGCAUAAUGGAGCACCACCGCGGGAGUGAUGAAGCUCCAAGGAUCCGAAAAUUCUGUUAGUCGUGAAGAACAAAAGUGUAUGUAACCGUGCUCGUCUUGACGGUACCUAAACAGAAAGCCACGGCUAACUACGUG
Molecule: ribosomal RNA, 497 nt
Filed under: uncultured bacterium
Lineage: Bacteria
Description: partial 16S ribosomal RNA
Rfam family: Bacterial small subunit ribosomal RNA
Source: RNAcentral